Molecule: ribosomal RNA, 253 nt
Filed under: uncultured bacterium
Lineage: Bacteria
Description: partial 16S ribosomal RNA
Rfam family: Bacterial small subunit ribosomal RNA
Source: RNAcentral
UACAGAGGGUGCGAGCGUUAAUCGGAAUUACUGGGCGUAAAGGGCGCGUAGGCGGUUAUAUGAGUGUGAUGUGAAAGCCCCAGGCUUAACCUGGGAAGUGCAUCGCAAACGAUAUAGCUAGAGUAUAUGAGAGGGUGGCGGAAUUUCCGGUGUAGCGGUGAAAUGCGUAGAGAUCGGGAGGAACACCAGUGGCGAAGGCGACUACCUGGCCUGUUCUUGACGCUGAGGCGCGAAAGCUAGGGGAGCAAACGGG